GCGGGUGUAGCUCAGCUGGUUAGAGUGCCGGCCUGUCACGCCGGAGGUCGCGGGUUAGAGCCCCGUCAACCGCUCCA
This 77-nucleotide transfer RNA is filed under the name Hyphomonas sp. RNAcentral's name for it is "tRNA-Asp". It matches the Rfam family "tRNA". From Rfam's summary of the family: Transfer RNA (tRNA) molecules are approximately 80 nucleotides in length. Their secondary structure includes four short double-helical elements and three loops (D, anti-codon, and T loops). Further hydrogen bonds mediate the characteristic L-shaped molecular structure. tRNAs have two regions of fundamental functional importance: the anti-codon, which is responsible for specific mRNA codon recognition, and the 3' end, to which the tRNAs corresponding amino acid is attached (by aminoacyl-tRNA synthetases). tRNAs cope with the degeneracy of the genetic code in two manners: having more than one tRNA (with a specific anti-codon) for a particular amino acid; and 'wobble' base-pairing, i.e. permitting non-standard base-pairing at the 3rd anti-codon position. Lineage: Bacteria; Pseudomonadati; Pseudomonadota; Alphaproteobacteria; Hyphomonadales; Hyphomonadaceae. The record is from RNAcentral.